Molecule: long non-coding RNA, 16334 nt
Filed under: Vigna radiata
Lineage: Eukaryota; Viridiplantae; Streptophyta; Magnoliopsida; Fabales; Fabaceae
Description: long non-coding RNA (VRAD_LNC000196)
Source: RNAcentral
UUCUCAUGUUAAUGUUGUCCAAAUUCUUGGAUUCUGUUUAGAAGGAAAGAAGAAAGCACUUAUUUAUGAAUUCAUGCCUAAUGGUUCCCUCGACAAGUUUAUCGGUAAUAAGGGACUAGAAAGCACUCCAUUCUUGAGUUGGGAUAAUGUGUUGCAAAUUGCAAAAGGGAUAGCGAGAGGACUAGAGUACCUGCACAAGGGAUGCAACACUCGUAUUUUACACUUUGACAUAAAACCACAUAACAUUCUUUUGGAUGACAACUUCUGUCCCAAGAUAUCAGACUUUGGGCUUGCAAAACUUUGUCCUGGGAAAGAGAGCACUGUUUCAGUUUCAGAUGCGAGAGGAACAAUAGGAUAUGUAGCUCCUGAAGUGUGCAACAAACAUUUUGGUGGAGUAUCACAAAAAUCUGAUGUGUAUAGCUAUGGAAUGAUGCUACUAGAAAUAGUGGGAGUGAGGAAUAAUAUUAAUGANGAAGCCACUGAAACAAGUGAAUACUUCCCAGAUUGGAUAUACAGAAAGCUGGAGCAAGANCAAGAUUUGAGAAGUGAUGAUGUGAUAGNGACAAAAGAAAAAGAGACAGAAAGGAGAAUGAUUGCAGUUAGUUUGUGGUGCAUUCAAACCCUUCCUAAGGAUAGACCUACUAUGAGUAGAGUAAUAGAAAUGUUAGAAGGUAACAUGAAUUCCCAAGAAAUACCCCCAAAACCUGUUCUUUCUUAUCCCUCAACUGGAUUGGUGCAAGAAUGGACCACUAGUUCCUUGCAGUCUGAGUAGAUUUUAAAAGUUAUUUUUCAAAGAAGAUCACUCAACAUAAUUAUGUUUUAUUUGUAAUAUUUCAAGUGAACGUUCAAUAUUGAGUUUUAUAAAGUUGAAUAAUCAGCUGGAAUAUUAAUUUCAUAUGCAUAUAUAUCAAAAUGUUUUGGAAUCAGCAUGCGAUUUUAAAUUUGUAUAAAAGUGUAUAUAUAUAAACAUAAUAAGAAUUGCCGGAGUAUUUCUGAUAGUUGCAUCUUGACAGAGGGCGGUUCACAACUUCAAUAAAAUGUUACAAAUUUGAAAAAAUUGGACUGUUUAAAAACAAAGCAAGACUAGAACAAGAUAAUGAUAAUUGUUUUAGGUAUGGAGUUGAGAUAAACGAUCUGAACUCUAAUGAGUCGUUCAAAGUUUAAAAACUGUUUUGAAAGCUAAAUGUUGGGUCAAACGGAUCAUUCAAAUUUCUGGGAGGGUAUGAUACAAGACACUUUCUUGCUAAAGUAAACCCAAUGUUGACAGCUAAAAAUUAAAGAUACAAUAAAUGCAAAAUCACGUACAUAUCUCAAAUUUCUAUUUAUAGAUAUGAGAAUGAAUUUGUAAUAAGUAUUGAUCUAAUCACAAUCCAAUUGUGAGUAAUAAUCUUCUUCUUUAUCAAUAAUUUUCUUUACAUUUCUUCUAUGCAACUUAGUUUUUUAGGUUAAUAUUUAUGAUUAAUUUAAAUCUCAAUAUUUUUACUUUUUGCAGCAAGCCUCGCAUUAUUAUUGCACUAUGAAUGUUCAAAUAUGCAUAAUUGUAUGUUACAUAAGAUUUAUCCGUAUGUAAUUAUUUAUAGGUUUUACACACAAAUUUAUCCGUGUGUAAUUAUUUAUGGAUAAAUUCGUAUGUAACAUUAUCUAUUAUUAUUUUACAUACGAAUUUUAUCCAUAGAUAGUUCAUACAUAAUGUAUUUUUACAUAAGAAUUUUUUAUGUUAGAUACGAAUUUUGGCAAUACAUAAUUAAUUUUUUUUUUGUAGUGAAUCAUACUUUAUCUUAUUGAUUGUCUAGUUUAUAAUUGAUUGGGCAAUAAUACCAUACAAUAAAUAAACAUGGACUACAUUUGAAUUUCUAACGAAAAACCUAAUUUUAUAAAAUUAUAACGUAAAUUUGUAUUUGUUUAUGAAAUUAUUGAUAUAUAGUUUUCAGUCUGAGGAUAAAUGAUAUAUCUUUGUUGGUUUUUACAGUAUAACACUUGCAAGUGACAUUAGCUACAGUUUUUAGUCAGACAUUUCUUGUUGUGCAUAUGCCUCUACCAUUAAUCAUUAAGAGGAAAAACUUUCAUCAUUAAUAUAUUUUCUAAUUUAAUAUUUAAAAUAAAAAAUAAGAAAUUGAAGCUUAUCCCAUAUAAAAAUUACUUAAUUAAUAGUAUCACACAAAUCAUUAUGGUCAUAUUUUUAAUUUUAAUUUUCAAGUUAUUGGGAAAAUAAAUUUGGAUACCUAAAUUUUACUUUCUAUGAUUUCAGACCUCAGAAUUUAAUUAAUUGAUUUUCAAAAAAUUUUGCUGUGAAUAAGCUUUGGUUUUCCCCUUAUCUUUUCUUUCCCAACAAAAUCAUCCACUUGUUCUGGUUCCCCCUAGUCACAAAAUAGUAUUGGAUUUUAACAUAAGGUAUUUAUAACACCUUGUUUGAUAUGUGCUACAUAUAUAUAUAUAUAUAUAUAUAUAUAUAUAUAUAUAUAUAUAUAUAUAUAUAUAUAUAUAUAUAUAUAUAUUUUAGUAAAUUUUGUUUAGUAUACAGAGUACACGUAUAUUGUUUAAACGAAAGUAAACAUUAUUAUAAAUUAAUAAAAAUUAGUAUACUAAAAUUAUGAUGAGAAUAAUUAUUAGUUCAUAUAUUGUUAGCCUACACAUAUUUACUCAAAAAAUAACUGGGAGGUUGGAGAUGAUAUUUUGACCAGACUUUGAGCUUCAUUGCACAUUUUUCUAGGUCGAACUGUGUUUUUCUCUCUUGGUUUGACUUUGAGGUUCUACAUUUACACUAUUUUAUAUAUUUUAUUUGAAAUUUAAGAGUCAGAAUUUUCAAAGUUUAAUACCAUAUCGUCAACACCAUUUAUUUUAAUAGCUAUCAAUGUAGUUAGGAACUUGAGUUAGUUUGACUUAUAAAGAGAUUGUUGUUGUGUAGUUCAUCAUUUCCCUCACUGACAAACAAGGCCUCUCACAUUGUUCUCCUGCAAAUUAAGGCCACUCUCAGAUUUCUAUCAUGCCUCUUCCUCUUGUUUCAUCUCCUUCUGCCAUCAUCAGCACCCUUUUCUUCUUGUCACUGUUCUUCCAAACAUAUUUAUCUAGUCAUGCUGCAAGGUCUCCAGCACCAACACCUACAGUAAUACCAGAAAAUUCACCAUUACCACCCUUUUUCCCUUAUUAUUAUUCAAAACUGUCUCCACCAGAGUCUCCACGUGCUCAGAGUAUGUUUUCUUCCUUCUCUACUUUUUAUUAUGUUCUCCUGCUAUAAUCUUAAUCUUUUCAAUGGUGCCAUUCAACUUCUUUUUCAUAAUACCUUACAUGUCCAGAAACAUGUUGAGAAGUGAAAAAUCACGUUGAGGAUGUAAAAGUCCGCUAAUUUAUGAAUACCAACUAGACUCCAUUGCUUUCGAUGAUCCAUCAGCAUCUACUUUGGAUUUUGUAAAUCAACACUGAAAUUAUAAUAACUUUUUUAGACACAAAAAAUAAAGUAUAGAAGAUAUUGAAAUAAGCGUACUAAAAGGAAAUUAUAAAUAACACCUUUCUUUUAACUUUAAUUUCGUGUGUUUCGCUGAUAUAUAUAUUAUAUUAUAUUAUAUUAAUGGUUGGUCGUAUCUUUGUGGAAGUUUGGAUUACAUUAGUCAUUAGGAUAAAUAUAAGGAUUUAUGAGAGAGAGGGAAGUGAAAAGAAGUGUGAGAAUGGAUGAUAAGUAUAGUCACAUCCACACUUCUCCCCUUGCCUUUGCACUCACCGUCUCUUGCUUCUUCUGCAUCGGUUUGCCACAUUCCCACUCUGAAAAAUUGCUGCUGCCACUGCCAUCACCGCCGCCGCCGCCACCGCUUUGUGCUGAGCAGUCAUACAUGUGCAACAUAAAGGUUUCCGGCAUCUUGGAUCCUGUCUGGAAACAGAUUCCUCCCUCUCAGUGUAUCGGCACCGACCCAUCACCCCAGCUCAGCUGCUCUGUUCCUUAUUAUGAAUCUCAAAAUUUCACACUGAAGAAGGUCAACCACACCACUCACACCAUGACGGUGGUGCCAACAUACACUGUCAACGAUUUGUGUUCUCAUGAUGUUUUUUACAUUUACGACAACUUGAACAACAGUCUGUUACGACAUUACGAGUCAGUAUACAACGUCAUCGUAUUCUUCGGUGGUUGUCCUCAUAGCAUCCCAGGUUUCCCUUUAGAACGCAGUUUUAAAUGCGGGGAUGCUGCGUUCUAUUUUGGGGAGGAGGAUGAGAUGUUGCACAAAGUACCCGCAUCGCUUCUGGAUUGCAAGAGAAGGUUGCUAAUGCCCAUUGCCGCUCCUCUCGAUCAUUAUGAUAAUAAAGAUGGUGGAGCUGAAGUUCUUAUAGAAGCUCUGGCGGAUGGGUUUGAGAUCUCCUAUAGUCCUCUUCAACAUUGCACAGGAUGCAACCAAAGUAUCGGAAAUUGCUGGAACGAUGGUUAUGAUUAUGAUGGAGAUGUAGUUUCAUGCAACUACUAUUGCCCAAAUCAUUACUGUUCUUCCAAAAGGAGUGGUAUGCCUUCUCUCCUCAUAUCUUACACAUCAUUGCCACAAAAUCCUCUUUUUAGCUACUCACUUCCCAUUUUCUCUUUAAUAUACUCCUACCGUUUAACCAACACGCACUUUGAUGCAACAAAGGCAAAAUUAGCGUAACAAAAUCAGUGCAGUCUGGAAAGUUUUGUAUUUUGCAGACCUUGAUGAUUUAUUUUGAUGAAAGAAGUACCUUGAUAAACUAGAACAAAUGUAGAUAUGAAUUAAUAAUAAACAGUACUGGUAAAGAUUGAAGUUAGCCAUUAUAAUUAUAAUGAAAAUAAUUAAUAAUAAUUCAAAUUUACUGAAUAAUAUAUGGGGGUUUCGAUGAGAAUUACGUUGUUGACCUGAUGACAAUGAGAAAAACAAGAGUUGCUGACUCCACCUUUUCCAAGUCAUGUUGAUAUUUGGUUCCUUCUUCACACCUUCAUUUCCAUCCUUCAGCUUUGACUCGGUCAAUAACCAAAUUAAAUUCAUCUCUCUAUUUCCUUUCCAGCUAUUUAUUACUUUCUUUCUCCAUUCUCAUUUUUUUUCUUCUUUUCCCAUACGCGUCAAUUCAAUCCCCUUUCUAUGUAUCAACUUUGACUUUUAGUACCAUUUUCCUGAAAUUUUUCUUUUUAACCAUUGAAUAAUGUUAUCAAGUAGUUUCUCUAUGAACUACAAUCCCUGUUUGGCUCUAUUUGUAUGUCUAAAUUUGUUUUUAACUGUAAUUCUGAUUGUUCAUGUAUCUAAAAUUUGUUUGUCGAAUAAUUUCAAACAUAUUAUAUAUACUGCCAUGCAUGUAGUGCAUAUAUAAUUGUAAGAUAUAUAAUUAUUAAGAAAAGACAUGGAAAAGAGAAUAACUCAAGACAAAAUUUCCUGUAUAUCCUUUUAAGAGGCAAAGUUUGAUCUAUUAUGAAAUUAUUACUUAUACAUAACUCACAGUCUAAGCAUAAAUGUAUUGUUUUUUUGUGGUCUAAAAUUAUUGGGACCCGUCCUUAACAUCAUGCACGACAAUAAAGUAUUAUCCAUCCUUUUUCUACUUUUCUUUCUUUUACUUUCAUUUUACAAGAUGCAUGUGCAUGUAACACCAAUCAUUCAGAAGAGGAAAACUUUUUCAUUAAUAAUAUAGGUUUUAAUUUAGCAGCUCAUGAGUGAUGAUUUAAAAAUUAAAUGAACAAUGAUAUUUUACAAUAUAUAAUUAGUAAUUCAUUAACUUAGAUAUCUAUAUUAUUAUAAUUAGUUAUGAAGUAAUUGUAUAUUCUCAAAAAAAAAAAACUUUAUUGAAAUUAAACAGCAUCGUAAGUGAUAUAUAUAUUAAGGGUAUAAUUGUGAUUUUAGUUUUGAACAGAGUUGUUGAUUGUAUUUGUGAGUAAAUGUAGAUGUUUUCCUCCUUUUGUGGUCCAACACGUCUUUCACCAUCAUGGACAUCAUUUUCGGCUUUCUUCUACUUUUGAGAUUUUUAAAGUAUUAAAUUGCGAAGCAGACUUUGAUUUCUUCAGUUAUUCUUAUUUUUUCCUAAAAUAUGGUUGCUCAAACAAAAUCAUCCACUAUUUUGAUUUUCCCCUUUAGUAAUGAAACAUUCAUCAAUUUUAAAAUAUUACUCUUUAUUGCUUUCAUAGCUUUUAGUCAUGACCUUGCAAUAUUUGUAUACAUGACUGUAUAUCUAAAUUCUUAUCUAUUCAAUGGAGCUAUAUACCUACGGUUGCAUUCCGAUACAAAAGCUAUUCCUUGAAUGAGUGUCAGCUUAUGGCAAAUGCGCCAUUUAGCAUGAAUGCUUCGGUUAAUUUCACUUGCUUAUUGAGAAUGAAUUACAUCGAGAUUUUGAAGACGGGGUUUCUUUUGAACUGGACUACACCUGAUUGCGAAUACUGUGAGAAAAGUGGUGAACGUUGUGGAUUUGAUGACAAUUAGUUUCCUGUUUCUGCAAGGAUAAGUCCUACUUAAGAAUAUAUUUUUGAAAUAUUGAUUAUUUUUGUUGUUGUUUAUUCAGAUCCCUGUGAUGCUUCUAUUCCUUUCAUGUUUUGUUUCCCCAUUUCCUUCUUUUGGGUACAGAAGCAAUUUCAAUCCUACAAUGGCAUUUCAGAAUAUGCUAGCCAAAUUAGUAUACCAGAACUUUGACUAAAGUAUCUUCAUAGAUCAGAUGAUGAUUGUUUCACAAUAUAUAUAUAUAUGUAUUUGGUUUACAUAAAUGUGUCUGGCCACACUAAUAGUGACGAGAACUAUUUGUAUGUUGUAGACACAGUAACCAAAUCAGCUGUGCAAUUCUUUUGAUAAAAUUAUUAACUGUCUCAUGAAAAGGUUCAGCUACGUAUAAUCAUGUCAUUGUCUUGAUGUGAUGAUAUAUAAGUUGUCAUGCAUUAUAUGCUUAUCAUCAAAAUAGCAGAAAUAUACUGAAAUUGAGUAUUCUUUACAUUUGGACUUUAAGAAAAAGGACCAAAUUCUAUACUCAGUUAGAAACUAGUCAUCAUAGAUUUGAACCGGAAAACAAGUAUAGUAUGACUAAUUUCUAAGUUGUCUGAUACCAGUGCAGCAUUACACUAAUUGGUAAUUCGCAUUCUGCCUCAUAAUGUCAUGCCAUUUUAUCAUGCCAUAACCCUUAGCACGUACUUUCUUCUUGAGGCAUUUGGUGAAAUUGUAUGUAUGUAUCUGUGUGUUUAUGUUUACUAUAUUAUCAUCCUUGAAUUGGGAGAAUGCUAACCUGUGUUUGUUUUCCCUUCUAUCUCUUGCAGGACGACUGAAUUGGAGAACGAAAAUCAUUAUAGGUAAUUAGGUUCAGUUUAAUUUCAUUUUUUUUUUCACAUUUAUUUCAUUAAUAGUCAUAUAAUAAUUGAAAUUUGCUAUGCUUGCCGUCAUAAUCAUGGAUGUAUGAUGAAUUAAUCCAAUCUUGAUCCAUAUGUAUAAGUGAAUCCAAUCUUAUAAUUUACACAAUUUUAGUAACUUUUAAAUGAAUGAGCACUUCAAUCACUUUUAUAUUCAAAAUUUGAUCUUAUCUCAUUCAAAAAAGAUUCACUUUUAUUAAUUUAGUGGUACGUAUUAAUUUUAAACCUUACUUAAAUAUGACAAAAUUUUGUCAACAAUGAUAUUCAAGUUACCGAAACUGAUAAUCAACCAUGAUCAAAUAACCAUCCAAAAAUCAAUACAAAUAAUAAUUGAUAAAUUUUAAUGAAUUUUAAGAUAUGUAUAUUAAAAUAUAUAUACACUAAUAAACUACAAAAAAAAAAAAAGUGAUCAAUCUUAAAUUAUUUAACCGACAAAGAUUCAAUACAUAAUUAGUACAUUUCCUCUUAUAUUAUUUUUUUUUAGAAAAUUCAAUUUUUUCAUAAAACUUGAAGACAAUACAUGAUUUUUAUAUUAAAUCUCAAAAGAAAAAUUAAGGCUAACUUAAUAAAAAUUCUCAUAUAAACAAAGUACAAGCAUGUAUAAUUGCGAAUAUUUUUCAAAUUUCCUUUUAUACCUAUUGUUUCGUUAUGCUUCAUAUUCAUACGCACACACUCUCUCACACACAUAUAACAAUCUUAAAAGUCAAGGGGUUUCCAUUUUUGUUUUCAAAAAAGCUUUUGUGAAAGCUUUGGAAAGAAUAAAUCUGUUUUCGAUUUUCCCAAAUGAAAUAUGCUAUUUUAUAUAAUCUUAUUUUUAGCUAUAGAAGGCAGUUCAAAUGUUUCUUAUAGCUCGUAACUUUUCUAAUAUAUCUACUAACACAGGUAGUGCAAGUGGAGCAAUGGGAAUAUUCAUGAUAUGCCUCAUAAUAGGUUGUAGAAAACGUAUGUCAUCAACAAGAAAGGAAAAAUUUCAUAUUACUAAUGAGCAGGAUAUUGAAGUAUUCUUAAAAGAUCAUGGAACUCUAGCACAAAAGAAAUAUACAUUUUCAGAAGUCAAGAAAAUGACCAACAAUUUCACGGUUAAAGUGGGUGAAGGUGGAUUUGGUGUUGUAUACAAAGGAGAGUUACGCAAUGGUUAUCAUGUGGCUGUAAAAUUAUUAAGGGCAUCAAAAGGAAAUGGCAAAGACUUUAUCAAUGAAGUUGCCAGUAUCAGUAGAACUUCUCAUGUUAAUGUNNNNNNNNNNNNNNNNNNNNNNNNNNNNNNNNNNNNNNNNNNNNNNNNNNNNNNNNNNNNNNNNNNNNNNNNNNNNNNNNNNNNNNNNNNNNNNNNNNNNNNNNNNNNNNNNNNNNNNNNNNNNNNNNNNNNNNNNNNNNNNNNNNNNNNNNNNNNNNNNNNNNNNNNNNNNNNNNNNNNNNNNNNNNNNNNNNNNNNNNNNNNNNNNNNNNNNNNNNNNNNNNNNNNNNNNNNNNNNNNNNNNNNNNNNNNNNNNNNNNNNNNNNNNNNNNNNNNNNNNNNNNNNNNNNNNNNNNNNNNNNNNNNNNNNNNNNNNNNNNNNNNNNNNNNNNNNNNNNNNNNNNNNNNNNNNNNNNNNNNNNNNNNNNNNNNNNNNNNNNNNNNNNNNNNNNNNNNNNNNNNNNNNNNNNNNNNNNNNNNNNNNNNNNNNNNNNNNNNNNNNNNNNNNNNNNNNNNNNNNNNNNNNNNNNNNNNNNNNNNNNNNNNNNNNNNNNNNNNNNNNNNNNNNNNNNNNNNNNNNNNNNNNNNNNNNNNNNNNNNNNNNNNNNNNNNNNNNNNNNNNNNNNNNNNNNNNNNNNNNNNNNNNNNNNNNNNNNNNNNNNNNNNNNNNGAAUGAUUGCAGUUAGUUUGUGGUGCAUUCAAACGUUUCCAAAGGAUAGACCUACUAUGAGUAGAGUAAUAGAAAUGUUAGAAGGCAACAUCAAUUCCCAUGAAAUACCCCCAAAACCUGUUCUUUCUUAUCCCUCAAUUGGAUUGGUGGAAGAAUGGACCACUAGUUCAUUGCAGUCUGAGUAGAUCUUAAAAGUUGUUUUUUUAAAGAUCACUCAUUAUGUUUGAGUUGUAAUAUCUCUAAAAAACUUUUAAAAUUGACUUUUAUAAUAUAGAUUAAUCAGUUGGAAUAUUAAUUUUAUCUACAUAUGUAUCAGAAUGUUUAGAAAUGAGCAUGUGAUUUGAAAUUUGUAUAAAUGUGUGUGUAUAAACAAAAUUAGAAUGGCCGGAGUAUUUUUGAUAGUCGUGUCUUGACAGAGGGUGGAUCAGAAAUUCAAUAAAUGUCAGAAAUUUGAUAAAAUAGGACAGCUUAAAAACAGAGGAGGCAUAGAACAAGAUAUAACUAACGAAGGACUACAAAUGAAUGUCGGAAGAAAAUUCUAAUUUCUUUAGAUUCUAACGUGGGUUAAAACUGUCGUGGCAAACAAAAAUCACGCGUCAUUAAUGUGUUGUUUAUACUGUUUGGAGCAGAAAAUAUUAAUAUGAUAUGAUUAGAGACAAAUUUAUAGAGAAAUCUAAUAACAGAAAAAAUAUUCGAAAUAAAGAUUAACCUACGAGGGAAAAGAACAAAAGCAAAAGUAACCAAGAGAUUUAUUGGAUUAAGAGAAUUUGUUGGGGGUUAAGAAAUUAAAUUAAUUAUGGAGAAACGUGAUGAAUGUUUUGUAAAUUAUUUUUAAAAAUGAUAUAAAUAAUAUAGUGUGGUGAAAUAAGUAAAUGUGGGGGAGGUGCCAGAGUAUUCCAUAUCCUGAAAUUAAGUAAACUGUAUAUUUGGUAAAUUUUUCCAUAUUGUACUUUAAAAUGAAUUGUUAUAAGAGUCCAGUGGAAAAAUUAGAAGAGAAGGUUGGAAAGGUCCUAAGUUAAACUUUUUCCACUGAUACUUAAGAGUUAUAAAAUUAUUUGAUAGAUUUAAAUGGAAAGGUAAGAAAGAUUUCUGAGCUUAAUUAUCUCGUUUACAAAAUGUUAACAAUUAAUAAUUAUUCAUAAAAAAAAAUUGUGAAUAAUAUUGAGAUGAUCCCAAUUUCAAAGUCUGGCAUAUAACAAUACCGUAAUGGAAUUUGGGUGAUUAGAUGUUACAACUUAGUAUGUUCAUUGAAAGAUGACAGCAACAGUUACCUAACUGUACUACUUUUUUUUAUUACAAUUUUCCAACUGAACCACUGCGUUGCUUUCUCCCGUAUAAGGGAUCAACACUGAAAUUAAUUUUUUUUUAGAUAAAGAAAUAAAGUUUGCAAGUAGAGCCGUCAAAAUGGGUCAUAACCCGCGAGCCAACUCGGCCCGUCACGGGUUCGGGCCGGGUUGGGUUUGAAAAAUACAACCCACUUAUAUGCGGGUCAGAUUUCAACCCGACUCAUUUAAACCCGGUUCAUGCGGGUUGAACCCGUGGUGAGCCGGGUUGGCCCACCAGCCCACCUACCUAAUUUUAUUUUUUUAAUUUAUUAUUUUAUUUAUGAAAUCCUAAAAAAUAAAAUAUUUUCUUCACUCUCACUGUGUAUACCAAAAAAGUAAUCUCUGCUCUCACAAAUCACUUUCACUGUACUUGCUCUCAUUUGACGGUGCUCUAACCCUCACUUCACUGAAAUUCUUCAAGGAGCAUAUAAAACACUCUUCCUUUUUUCUUUUCUUUUCUCCAUAUUUUUGUUUUCUCACUUCUCUUUUUUUUUUUUUUUCAAAAACCCUAUAAUGACAAAAAUAGGGAUUUGCGAAUUUGUUUUUUGUUCUGGAGAUUUGAAGACAUGGAAUGAUUUUUUCAUGUUCUGACAUGCUUGUAUCAUAUUUUGUUCAUUUUAUUUAAAUAAUUUGAGUAUACAUUAUUUGAACAAGCUCUUUUUGAUAUCUUUGAAUUUGACAAUUAUGUUACAGAUUAAACUAUUAAUUUUUUGUUGAUAUUGUUGAGUACUAGUUCUCUUUUUUUUACUAAUAUUUUUUUUAUUGAUUGUCGGAAUUGUUCUGAUAUUAGGAAAAUCUUUAUUAGUGAAUUUGGAAACAACAAUAACAAGGGUCAAGGAUUACAAUAAGAACAAAAAAUCACUACAAAAAAAGUGUUAUUUUACGGAGGUUAUUUUGUGGGGGUUAUAAAAACCCUCCACAAAUUAAUAUAAUUUAAAAUAAUUAAAAGGAAUUGACAGACUCCUGAUGAUAGCGGGAGUUUUGAUAUUAUUCUGAAGAGGUUUAUAUUCUUUAACAAUUAAAAUGAUAUUUUUAUACAAAACCUAGUUUUCUUCUUAGAUUCAAAAUUCCUUAAAUAUGUAUUCCCUCUCACAUUUCCCUCUCCCGAAAUUUGGUUUUUUCUCUAAAAUUUUCCAAAAGCUCACAUUUCUCAGUUUUCCCUAAAUAAGGGUUUCGUUUUCUGAUGGAGGCGCUGCAAUUGUUACCAUGGUGGCUCGAUUCAAACUGCGAGGUGGUUUCUUCUAGGUUUGUUCGCGAUUUGGGAAUUUCUCUAUAAUUAGGGUUCAUCAUUUCAGUGGUACUUUGCGCGAAUUGGGGCUGGCGCUUUGGUUCGAUGGUGUUCACGAUUUAGGGUGGCUACUAUUUUUGGGAUUUUCUGUUUGCAGGUUUGGUGGCUUUACGGAAGCUAGGUUCGAGGAAGACGAAGACACGAGGGGUUUCGCAAUGUUCACGCAUUGAAGUCGCGAGAUUGGCGUUCUCUGGGUUUUUUCUUAUUUUUUUAGGUUCUCUUCUUCUUUGUAGGUGUGAGGCGAUUGAUGAAGGAGGAGAAGACGAACCGACGUUUCUCGCGAUUCUGGUUUUUGUUGCAGUUGAAGGUGGAGUGAUUGCAACGAUGUGGUCGAUUAUGAAGUUCUCGCACUUGGGUUCUAAGUGUGUGUUGAUGCUGCAAGGGAGGCACUGCUUGCGCAAGGACAGAGACGAACUCACGGUGGUCAUGGUGACGGAUGAUGGGCUUUUGCGUUUGAAAAGAUUACAAAAACUCGAAGUUCUCUAGUUCAAUUAAUGCUUUCAGAAAAAUGGUAUAACCAACAAAUUCUGGGUUCUAAUGAUUUGACUUCAUAAUAAUUAUUGUCUAAUUUCAUUGAUGUAGCAUGCAGCAAAUGGUUUCUGCAGAAGAUUGGCCAUGAAGGGUGUAACUAAACUACAAAAUUUUGGAUCAGUUUUCAAUAUUUUAGUACAUGUUUUCAGGAAUAAGGAUAUCCCACAAAAUUUGAUUUACUCAUUCCUCUUGUUCAUUUUCUUUUCCAGUUUAAUAUUGGGGUUCUAAUAAUAUGAAUCUCCUUAUUUCUGUAUGGUUACUAAGUGAUUCAAAUUCUAGUAUAAUCUACUUUUCCAAAUUGAAAAACGCGAGCAACACUUUCUUCAACUCUUCUUUAGGAAAAAGUAUAUUUUUAAUCUGAUAAUUUUUGUUAAAGUUGGUGUUAGUUCAUAUACUUUUAAAUUGAUGAAUUAGUCUUUCAAACUUUUAAAAGUAUGUGAAGUCAAUUUUUUGUCAUAUUUUUGAUAAUUGUUUUGUCAUAUUUUUCUACCUAGAAAAGCUUGUAUGAUGUAGAUUUUAACUCUCUGCAUAAUUUCUGAAAUAUUGUUUUGCUUGCGGGUACAACAUUGUUGGUCCAUUAUUCUUAAUCUAGCAUAUUUUGUAGUGCUGGUUACUUUUGUAUAUGGAGGUUUCAUUGAAAUUGAAUUAUGUUUUCUAGUUAUGAUGUUUCACAAUGGUAUUCUUUUGUCUUGUUUUUGCUUCUAUAGGUUCACUGUGAUAAGUAACAUACAUUUUUAUAUUUUUGUCUCGUUUUUGCUUUAUAGCUUUAGUGUGAUAAGUAACAUACAUUUUUAUUCUCAUUUCAGGAAGAAUGGAUUUACUGUGGAACACUAUGUUUGGAGUGGGCAUACUAUUGGAAUCAAAUUAAAGAAAACUUGAAAACAAGUGGCACUGGAAGAAUGAGUUUAAAGGAAGUAGCUGAAGAAAUGAAGUUGUGUUAAACUUUUAUUUUGAAUUUUGUUUAAGUCAUCAAGUUUAUAUGUUUUCAAUUAGUCAAGUUGUUUUCGACUAUGUUAGAUUUUGUAGUAAAUCUUGCAAUAUUAAUUAAAUAUUAUGUAUUCUUUUUUAUAUUUAGAGUGUAAUUGUAAAUUAAUGUAAUUUAUUUUAAUUCAUUAAUAAAAUUAAUUUUGAUUAUUUUUUUAUACUUUACAAUUUAAUAUAUUUUAUUUAUUUCUUAUUGAAAAAAACAAAUUUAAUUAAAUUAAGAAAUUAUAAAUGUAGGUGAGUAAUUAUAAAUAAAGGAGGUUUUAAACCUCCACAAAAUAAUAGCGAUAAAUAAAAGAGGGUAACACCCUCCACAAAAAAACCUCUGCAAUAUACAUUUGAUACCAGGGGUUAUGAAAAACCUCUGCAAAUUGUUUGUGGGGAUUCUAACUGUGGGGGUUUGAAAAACUUUCGGAUUUCGUUUUGCGGAGAGUGAAAACCUCCGCAAAUUAGAAAAAUAACCUUUGCUAAAUAACUGUUUUUUUUAGUGAAUGAUGAAUAUAAUAAACUUAUUUGUAUGUUUUUUGUGUUUGUUUUUGAAUGACAUUUGGAUUAUAUUGUACUUUUUAUUAUUAUUUUGAAUUGUCUUUAACAUAAUUUUUUGGGAGUGAAAAUUGUUUAAAUUUAAAUUACAGAAAGUUUUUAUUUUUUUUAUUUUAAAAAAAAUGUAAUUAAAUGGGCUAGUGAGUCAACCCGUUUACCCACCAACCCGUGGUGGGUCGGGCUGGGUUCAAGUUUUUCUGGCUCGCUAGUAAAUGAGCCGGGUUGGGUUGGCUCACUAAGUGACCAACCCGUGGUGGGCCGGGCCGGUUCGAGCCGGGUUACCCAUUUUGACAACUCCAUUUGCAAGAUAUAUGUAUUGAAAUAAGAUUACAGCAUAUGGGAAGGAAAUUAUAAAUUAACACCUUUCUUUUUAAUUUUUAUUCUGUAUGUUUGGCAAAUAUAUAUAUAUAUAUAUAUAUAUAUAUAUAUNNNNNAAGUGAUUGUAAAAGUAGAUUGUACGUUUUCUUUUUAUCUGAACAACAUUUCAACCAAAUUUUCACCAAUAUUCUAGGAAUCCGAGACGAAAUCAUCUUUGCUCAUCUACUUUUGCAGGAAAUUGGGACAAAAAGAGGAAACUCGUUAUUUUAGGUAAUAAAAAUCUAUAUUUCCUUUCAUACUUUCACAUCCACCACUUCUUUUAAUACUAUAGUUUUGUGUUUCUCUGUUAUGUCUUCAUGAUUGUAUACAUGUCAUAAUCAUGUAAAAUAAUCACAAUUUAAAUUACUGCUUAAUAUAAUUUUCACUAAAUAUUUCCUACUGGUUUCUAAUAAAUUUUCAAAGUUGAGUAAAAUAAAAUUUACUAACUGUCAACACCCAAUUUCGUCUGGAUGAAUAAAUAAUAGGGUUAGAUUCUAUUUUAGUCACAUUUUAUUUUUGUUUUAUUUAUUUAUUUUGCGUUUUUAAUUUUUAGUUUACUUUUGAUUUAGCUCUUUAAUUAUUAUUAGAUUUUAUUUUAUUUUAAAAAAAAAACGAAAAAAGAAAAAAGAAAAAUCAAUAGUAUAAAAAAUAAACAAAGGGAAAAGAAAAAGAAAAGAAAAAAAAAUAAAUAAAAAAUACUAUUUCGUUUUACUGUUAAUUUGGGGUGCAAAUAGUAAAACGAAAUAGUAUAUUUUUUAUUUUUCUUUUUAUUUUACUUUAUUUUAUUUAAAAACUAAACAAAAAUUAUAAAAAUAAAAAUAAAAUGAAAUAAGACAACAAAUAAAAGCAAGUCCUAUUAUUUAGUCGGGUGUUGACCCUAACCAUAAUUCUUUUUACUAUUUACAUUUGAGAUUAGAAGAAGAUCAGAGAAUGAGGUGUCAACAUUUCUCAUCUGCUAACAGGUGUUACAGGUACUGUAAGUGGAGCAAUGGGAAUAUUCAUGAUAUGCCUCGUAAUAGGUUGUAGAAAACGUAUGUCAUCAACAGGAAAGGGAAAAUUUCAUAUUACUAAUGAGCAAGAUAUUGAAGUAUUCUUAAGAGAUCAUGGAAGUCUAGCACAAAAGAAAUAUAAAUUUUCAGAAGUCAAGAAAAUGACGAAGAACUUCACAGUUAAGCUGGGUGAAGGUGGGUUUGGUGUUGUAUACAAAGGAGAGUUACGCAAUGGUUACCAUGUGGCUGUUAAAUUAUUAACGGCAUCAAAAGGAAAUGGAAAAGACUUUAUGAAUGAGGUUGCCAGUAUCAGUAGAACUUCUCAUGUUAAUGUUGUCCAACUUCUUGGAUUCUGUUUAGAAGGAAAGAAGAAAGCCCUUAUUUAUGAAUUCAUGCCUAAUGGUUCCCUCGACAAGUUCAUCAGUAAUAAGGGACUAGAAAGAACUUCAUCUUUGACUUGGGAUAAUCUGUUGCAAAUUGCAAAAGGGAUAGCCAAAGGAUUAGAGUACUUGCACAAGGGAUGCAACACUCGUAUUUUACANUUUGACAUAAAACCACAUAACAUUCUUUUGGAUGACAACUUCUGUCCCAAGAUAUCAGACUUUGGGCUUGCAAAACUUUGUCCUGGGAAAGAGAGCACUAUUUCAGUUUCAGANGCNAGAGGAACNAUAGGNUAUGUAGCUCCUGAAGUGUGCAACAAACAUUUUGGUGGAGUAUCACAAAAAUCUGAUGUGUAUAGCUAUGGAAUGAUGCUACUAGAAAUAGUGGGAGUGAGGAAUAAUAUUAAUGAAGAAGCCACUGAAACAAGUGAAUACUUCCCAGAUUGGAUAUACAGAAAGCUGGAGCAAGACCAAGAUCUGAGAAGUGAUGAUGUGAUAGCGUCAAAAGAAAAAGAGACAGAAAGGAGAAUGAUUGCAGUUAGUUUGUGGUGCAUUCAAACGUUUCCAAAGGAUAGACCUACUAUGAGUAGAGUAAUAGAAAUGUUAGAAGGCAACAUCAAUUCCCAUGAAAUACCCCCAAAACCUGUUCUUUCUUAUCCCUCCAUUGGAUUGGUGCAAGAAUGGAGCACUAGUUCCUUUCAGUCUGAGUAGAUCUUAAAUGUUGUUUUUUUAAAGAUCACUCAACACAAUUAUGUUUGAGUUGUAAUAUCUCAAAUAAACUUUUAAUAUUGAC